This 285-nucleotide ribosomal RNA is filed under the name uncultured bacterium. Its description in RNAcentral is "partial 16S ribosomal RNA". It matches the Rfam family "Bacterial small subunit ribosomal RNA", at positions 28 to 301 of the family's 1533-position model. The record is from RNAcentral.
GACGAACGCUGGCGGCGUGCUUAACACAUGCAAGUCGAGGGCACUAUGGGGGCAACCUUGUAGUGACCGGCGAACGGGUGCGUAACACGUGAGCGACCUUGCCUCGUGGUGGGGGAUAGCCGGCCCAACGGCCGGGUAAUACCGCAUAUGGUGCUUCUCUCGCAUGGGAGAGGUAGCAAAGCCUUGCAGCAAUGCAAUGGCGCCACAGGGGGGCGUCGCGGCCUAUCAGCUAGUUGGGGGGUAAGUGCCCACCAAGGCGACGACGGGUAGCUGGUCUGAGAGGAU